This is a transfer RNA of Thermodesulfobacterium geofontis OPF15, 73 nucleotides long. It matches the Rfam family "tRNA". Rfam says of the family: Transfer RNA (tRNA) molecules are approximately 80 nucleotides in length. Lineage: Bacteria; Pseudomonadati; Thermodesulfobacteriota; Thermodesulfobacteria; Thermodesulfobacteriales; Thermodesulfobacteriaceae. The record is from Rfam.
GCCGGCGUAGCUCAAUAGGCAGAGCGUGGGAUUUGUAAUCCCAAGGUUGAGGGUUCAAGCCCCUCCGCCGGCU